Molecule: ribosomal RNA, 120 nt
Filed under: uncultured Roseicyclus sp.
Lineage: Bacteria; Pseudomonadati; Pseudomonadota; Alphaproteobacteria; Rhodobacterales; Roseobacteraceae
Description: partial 16S ribosomal RNA
Rfam family: Bacterial small subunit ribosomal RNA (bases 32-120)
Source: RNAcentral
CGAGGUAUAAGUCUGUACUAACCGUGCCAGCGUGAGUGAUGAAAGCCCUAGGGUCGUAAAGCUCUUUCGCCAGGGAUGAUAAUGACAGUACCUGGUAAAGAAACCCCGGCUAACUCCGUG